GGUGCUAUAGUGUAGUGGUUAUCACUCGGGAUUUUGAAAUGGCAGUUUCAGCCCAUUGGAUCUUCCCGAAACCCAGGUUCGAACCCUGGUAGCACCU
Non-coding RNA from Coprinopsis sp. MPI-PUGE-AT-0042, 97 nucleotides. NCBI's taxonomy places the organism in Eukaryota, Fungi, Basidiomycota, Agaricomycetes, Agaricales, Psathyrellaceae. The record is from the annotation of a GenBank genome assembly.